RNAcentral lists this ribosomal RNA (465 nucleotides) under uncultured bacterium. RNAcentral describes it as "partial 16S ribosomal RNA". It matches the Rfam family "Bacterial small subunit ribosomal RNA", at positions 338 to 795 of the family's 1533-position model. The record is from RNAcentral.
CCUACGGGAGGCAGCAGUGGGGAAUAUUGCUCAAUGGGCGAAAGCCUGACCCAGCGACGCCGCGUGAGGGAUGAAGGUUUUCGGAUCGUAAACCUCUUUCAGAAGGGAAGAAGUUGCAUGGGGCCAAUCACCUGUGCAUUGACGUUACCUUCAAAGGAAGCACCGGCUAACUCCGUGCCAGCAGCCGCGGGAAUACGGAGGGUGCGAGCGUGAAUCGGAAUUGCUGGGCGGAAAGGGCGCGUAGGCGGUAUGUCAAGUCAAGGGUGAAAUGCCACGGCUCAACCGUGGAACUGCCUUUGAAACUGGCAAACUGGAGUAUGUGAGAGGGAGGCGGAAUGCGUGGUGUAGGGGUGAAAUGCGUAGAUAUCAGGAGGAACAUCAGUGGCGAAGGCGGCCGACUGGCACAAAACUGACGCUGAGGUGCGAAAGCGUGGGUAGCAAACAGGAUUAGAUACCCGAGUAGUC